Molecule: ribosomal RNA, 589 nt
Filed under: Veillonella dispar
Lineage: Bacteria; Bacillati; Bacillota; Negativicutes; Veillonellales; Veillonellaceae
Description: bacterial SSU rRNA
Rfam family: Bacterial small subunit ribosomal RNA
Source: RNAcentral
GACGAAAGUCUGACGGAGCAACGCCGCGUGAGUGAUGACGGCCUUCGGGUUGUAAAGCUCUGUUAAUCGGGACGAAAGGCCUUCUUGCGAAUAGUUAGAAGGAUUGACGGUACCGGAAUAGAAAGCCACGGCUAACUACGUGCCAGCAGCCGCGGUAAUACGUAGGUGGCAAGCGUUGUCCGGAAUUAUUGGGCGUAAAGCGCGCGCAGGCGGAUAGGUCAGUCUGUCUUAAAAGUUCGGGGCUUAACCCCGUGAUGGGAUGGAAACUGCCAAUCUAGAGUAUCGGAGAGGAAAGUGGAAUUCCUAGUGUAGCGGUGAAAUGCGUAGAUAUUAGGAAGAACACCAGUGGCGAAGGCGACUUUCUGGACGAAAACUGACGCUGAGGCGCGAAAGCCAGGGGAGCGAACGGGAUUAGAUACCCCGGUAGUCCUGGCCGUAAACGAUGGGUACUAGGUGUAGGAGGUAUCGACCCCUUCUGUGCCGGAGUUAACGCAAUAAGUACCCCGCCUGGGGAGUACGACCGCAAGGUUGAAACUCAAAGGAAUUGACGGGGGCCCGCACAAGCGGUGGAGUAUGUGGUUUAAUUCGA